Molecule: non-coding RNA, 938 nt
Filed under: Odorrana schmackeri (piebald odorous frog)
Lineage: Eukaryota; Metazoa; Chordata; Amphibia; Anura; Ranidae
Also listed under: 1 other name
Description: 12S ribosomal RNA
Rfam family: Bacterial small subunit ribosomal RNA
Source: RNAcentral
CAAAGGCUUGGUCCUGGCCUUACUAUCAACUAUUUCUCAACUUACACAUGCAAGUCUCAGCACACCAGUGAGAACGCCCUCUAGCCUCCACCAGGCCAAGGAGCCGGCAUCAGACACAAUUCCAGUCCACAACGUCUAGUCUCACCACACCCCCAAGGGCAUUCAGCAGUGAUAAAUCUUGAGCAUAAGCGACAGCUUGACUCAGUCAGGGAAAAGAGAGCCGGCCAAUCUGGUGCCAGCCGCCGCGGCUACCCCAUGGGGCUCAAGUUGAUAGUCACCGGCGUUAAGCGUGAUUAAAGUCAAAUUAGAUUAGGGCCAAAUUAAUACUUAGUAGUCUAAAGCUCGUUAUUAAGAAGAACACAAACGAAAGUUGCCCUAACUUAUACACUUGAAUACACGACAGUUGGGGAACAAACUGGGAUUAGAUACCCCACUAUGCCCAACCGUAAACAAUUAACUUACACCAAUAAGCGCCAGGGAACUACGAGCAAUGCUUAAAACCCAAAGGAUUUGACGGUGUCCCACCCCACUAGAGGAGCCUGUUCUAUAAUCGAUGAUCCCCGAUAUACCCCACCACUCCUUGCUUAUCAGUCUGUAUACCUCCGUCGAAAGCUUACCGUAUGAACGUCUACAGUAGGCUCAAGGACCCGCACAGUGGGUCAAUACGUCAGGUCAAGGUGCAACUUAAGGAAUGGGAAGUAAUUGGCUACAAUUUCUAACUUAGAACAAACGAAAGACUAUGUGAAACCAUAGUAACGAAGGCGGAUUUAGCAGUAAAAAGAAAAUAGAGAGUUCUUUUUAACCCGGCUCUGGGACGCGUACACACCGCCCGUCACCCUCUUCGAUAGUGCUAUUACCCAGUCCCUAACCCGUUUCUACGUCUUAGAAGAGGCAAGUCGUAACAUGGUAAGUGUACUGGAAAGUGCGCUUGGAAUAUA